GCUUGACACCCACAAUCAGGUCCAUGUUGAACAACCACACACUAUGCCAUGGCAGCCUGGUGUUCAUCAUGGUGCAUCAGGGCUGGACCAGUUUGUUGCUGUGCAGCAUGGUUAUGCCAUACCAAAUGUGCAACACAGCACAACAGGGCUUGAUAUACACAAUCUGGUCCAUGUUGUGCAACAACCACACACUAUGUAAUGGCAGUAAGGUUAUCAUCAUGGUGCAUCAGGGCUGGACAUGAACCACAUUGUUCCUGUGCAGCAUUGUUACACCACAUCAAAUGUGCUGCACAGCACAGGUAACACCUGAUGGAACCCAUCAUACCAAAUGUCUGUGGUACUGCUCCAAUGACCUUAUAUUCUUUUAACAAUGACAAAUUAUAUAUGAGCAGCACAUCAGUCUGGAUUAUGCCAUGUCAAGGAGCAGUGAGGGAGGUCCCAAACAUUUGGAUCUUAACACUGAUGUCAAGUCAGGCACCUUAGGAUGCCACAAGAGCUGAUGACGAGGACAGGGAUACAGUCAGCCUUAUCUGGCCUGCAGAAGGAGAGUGGAAAGAACCUUGGAAUUCCAUCACUUCAGAGGAGGCGAUCUGGAUCCAUUCAGCUUCAUCAAGCUUAGUGAAUGGCAAGACAGUCCAGACUAUGCCAUUAUACCAUCUUGAGGACUAAUGAAGGAAGUCCCAAACAUUUCGAACUUGGCACUGAUGUUGAGUCAGGCCCCUCAGGUUGCCUCAAGAGUGAAGGACCUUAUAUCCACAACAUCCGGACUUCAGAAGGGCAGGACUAGGAUCCACUCAGCUUUGCCUGGCUGCCAGAAGGAGAGUGGAAAGGAACUUGAGCUGGCCGCUGUGGCUGAGCGGUUCUAUGCGCUUCAGUCCAGAACCGCAUGACUGCUACGGUCGCAGGUUCGAAUCCUGCCUCGGGCAUGGAUGUGUGUGAUGUCCUUAGGUUAGUUAGGUUUAAGUAGCUCUAAGUUCUAGGGGACUGGUGACCUCAGAUGUUAAGUCCCGUAAUGCUCAGAGCCAUUUGAACCAUUUUUGAAGACAUGGGUGUAAGUGCUACUCGGAGAUGAUCAGACGGGAAUUUGUGUCUGUCUUUCUGACAAUUUUAAUACAAAUGAUGGAUACGUUAUAAUUGUGCAAGAUUUCUUGUAGCACAAUUCACACAAUGUGUGUGUCCUCUGAAACAUUAUUAUGUAAUAUAACACAGCUGGAAAUGUUAUUAAUUUUAGCUUUUUGAAAUAGUUAGGUAUUUCCCAUAUUACUGCAGAAGCUGUGUUCUAAUGCAUGACAAUUGGCAUAAACAUAAGAAUGUCCCAAUUGGACACUGGUGAUAGAUACUCGUGAUGUUUUCCAUGUCCUUACUACUGCACUUGUGACAUACACAAGCAUGUUUUUAAAGGUUUGAAAACAAUAUCAAAAUUGCUGGAGGUAAAGACAAAUAGGUACUUUCAACUCUUAAGAUUUAUGUCUGUCAUUUAUAGUAAUGUAAGAUUGAUUGUUCACUGUCAUCA
Long non-coding RNA from Schistocerca nitens (vagrant locust), 1513 nucleotides. RefSeq lists it as uncharacterized. Lineage: Eukaryota; Metazoa; Arthropoda; Insecta; Orthoptera; Acrididae. The record is from RefSeq and is a predicted model, not a curated record. The transcript is spliced from 6 exons.